CCUACGGGGGGCAGCAGUGGGGAAUAUUGGACAAUGGGCGAAAGCCUGAUCCAGCCAUGCCGCGUGUGUGAAGAAGGCCUUCGGGUUGUAAAGCACUUUCAGUGGGGAAGAAAGCCUUGGGGCUAAUACCCUCGAGGAAGGACAUCACCCACAGAAGAAGCACCGGCUAACUCCGUGCCAGCAGCCGCGGUAAUACGGAGGGUGCGAGCGUUAAUCGGAAUUACUGGGCGUAAAGCGCGCGUAGGCGGUCUGAUAAGCCGGUUGUGAAAGCCCCGGGCUCAACCUGGGAACGGCAUCCGGAACUGUCAGGUUAGAGUGCAGGAGAGGAAGGUAGAAUUCCCGGUGUAGCGGUGAAAUGCGUAGAGAUCGGGAGGAAUACCAGUGGCGAAGGCGGCCUUCUGGACUGACACUGACGCUGAGGUGCGAAAGCGUGGGUAGCAAACAGGAUUAGAUACCCCUGUAGUC
This 465-nucleotide ribosomal RNA is filed under the name Vreelandella stevensii. RNAcentral describes it as "partial 16S ribosomal RNA". It matches the Rfam family "Bacterial small subunit ribosomal RNA", at positions 338 to 795 of the family's 1533-position model. The record is from RNAcentral. Lineage: Bacteria; Pseudomonadati; Pseudomonadota; Gammaproteobacteria; Oceanospirillales; Halomonadaceae.